This is a long non-coding RNA of Gymnodraco acuticeps, 759 nucleotides long. RefSeq lists it as uncharacterized. NCBI's taxonomy places the organism in Eukaryota, Metazoa, Chordata, Actinopteri, Perciformes, Bathydraconidae. The record is from RefSeq and is a predicted model, not a curated record. The transcript has 3 exons.
AGUGGUGGAAUUAGUUUAAAACAGUCACCUUACACUUUAGUUGUCCUCUCUAAAUUAGAUUUAAGGUUUUUAAAAUGAUUAGUGUUAAUUAAGCGCUAUUGUUAUUUUAGCGCUUAAAAUAACAAUAGAUAUAAGGGGAUAGGAGUUCAACUUUAAAAAUGCGCAGGAUCAUUCUAAGAAGAGUGAGAGGGCUAAUGAGCCAGCACCAUACUUCCUCUCUGCGUUUUCUUGACCUGGAUCUGAUCUUGAAAAACUCUAUUCAGGAAAGUCUGAACCAAAUAAGAAUUGGAAUAUUAGAGAGGAUUAACUCUUUUGGUGGAACCGCAUAUGAUUAAUUCCCUGUGGAAAGUGAUGAAGUUUGCGGCGUAAGCCAGCCAUCAGUGUACCAUCACGACGACAUAUCUAUACAGCGUGAAAACCUCCCCUCUCUGGAGUUUACAUACAGCCUACCUUCUGCGACAAGUGCUGAUCUAAGUUUGAUCUUCAGUGAUCCUCUCACUCAGAGAGCCAGACAGACUAGUCCCCCUGUAACACCCCCCUUCAACAGGUCUGAUGCUAACCCCCAACACAACUAAGGAAUUUGUUUUCUUUUAAGGGCCUAGGCAGAUUUUGGCUUUUUUCUCUUGCCAAGAUACUUUUAGACACACUUUGAGGUAUGCAAAACCUUAAAACUAGAAAAUGAAGUACAUUGUCUGAUUAGAAUUUUUUCUCUAAAAGGCAAGUUUGUGAUUUUAACACUUUUUACUGACACUCAACAGA